AUUGAACGCUGGCGGAAUGCUUUACACAUGCAAGUCGAACGGUAGAGGGGGCAACCCCUUGAGAGUGGCGAACGGGUGAGUAAUGUAUCGGAACGUGCCCAGUCGUGGGGGAUAACGUAGUGAAAAUUACGCUAAUACCGCAUACGAUCUAUGGAUGAAAGCGGGGGAUCGCAAGACCUCGCGCGAUUGGAGCGGCCGAUAUCAGAUUAGGUAGUUGGUGGGGUAAAGGCUCACCAAGCCAACGAUCUGUAGCUGGUCUGAGAGGACGACCAGCCACACUGGAACUGAGACACGGUCCAGACUCCUACGGGAGGCAGCAGUGGGGAAUUUUGGACAAUGGACGCAAGUCUGAUCCAGCCAUUCCGCGUGCAGGACGAAGGCCUUCGGGUUGUAAACUGCUUUUGUACGGAACGAAAAAGCUCUUAUUAAUACUAGGAGUCCAUGACGGUACCGUAAGAAUAAGCACCGGCUAACUACGUGCCAGCAGCCGCGGUAAUACGUAGGGUGCAAGCGUUAAUCGGAAUUACUGGGCGUAAAGCGUGCGCAGGCGGUUAUAUAAGACAGAUGUGAAAUACCCCGAGCUUAACUUGGGAACUGCUAUUUGUGACUGUAUAGCUAGAGUACGGCAAGAGGGGGAUGGAAAUUCCGCGUGUAGCCAAGUGAAAUGCGUAGAUAUGCGGGAAGGGAAACACCGGAUGGCGGAAAG
This 706-nucleotide ribosomal RNA is filed under the name Pseudomonadota bacterium. Its description in RNAcentral is "bacterial SSU rRNA". It matches the Rfam family "Bacterial small subunit ribosomal RNA", at positions 28 to 721 of the family's 1533-position model. Lineage: Bacteria; Pseudomonadati; Pseudomonadota. The record is from RNAcentral.